Molecule: ribosomal RNA, 253 nt
Filed under: uncultured Bacteroidales bacterium
Lineage: Bacteria; Pseudomonadati; Bacteroidota; Bacteroidia; Bacteroidales
Description: partial 16S ribosomal RNA
Rfam family: Bacterial small subunit ribosomal RNA
Source: RNAcentral
UACGGAGGAUGCGAGCGUUAUCCGGAUUUAUUGGGUUUAAAGGGUGCGUAGGUUGUUUUUUAAGUCAGCGGUGAAAGUUUGUGGCUCAACCAUAAAAUUGCCGUUGAAACUGACACCCUUGAGUGAGUGAGAAGUAAGCGGAAUGCGUGGUGUAGCGGUGAAAUGCAUAGAUACCACGCAGAACGCCGAUUGCGAAGGCAGCUUACCGGCGCUCAACUGACGCUGAGGCACGAAAGUGCGGGUAUCGAACAGG